GACGAACGCUGGCGGCGUGCUUAACACAUGCAAGUCGAACGGUAAGGCCCUUCGGGGUACACGAGUGGCGAACGGGUGAGUAACACGUGGGUGAUCUGCCCUGCACUUCGGGAUAAGCCUGGGAAACUGGGUCUAAUUCCGGAUAGGACCACUGCCUGCAUGGGUGGUGGUGGAAAGCUUUUGCGGUGUGGGAUGGGCCCGCGGCCUAUCAGCUUGUUGGUGGGGUGAUGGCCUACCAAGGCGACGACGGGUAGCCGGCCUGAGAGGGUGACCGGCCACACUGGGACUGAGAUACGGCCCAGAUUCCUACGGGAGGCAGCAGUGGGGAAUAUUGCACAAUGGGCGCAAGCCUGAUGCAGCGACGCCGCGUGAGGGAUGACGGCCUUCGGGUUGUAAACCUCUUUCAGCACCGACGAAGCGCAAGUGACGGUAGGUGCAGAAGAAGGACCGGCCAACUACGUGCCAGCCGCCGCGGUAA
Molecule: ribosomal RNA, 478 nt
Filed under: uncultured bacterium
Lineage: Bacteria
Description: partial 16S ribosomal RNA
Rfam family: Bacterial small subunit ribosomal RNA
Source: RNAcentral